This 253-nucleotide ribosomal RNA is filed under the name uncultured bacterium. RNAcentral describes it as "partial 16S ribosomal RNA". It matches the Rfam family "Bacterial small subunit ribosomal RNA", at positions 524 to 776 of the family's 1533-position model. The record is from RNAcentral.
UACGGAGGGGGCUAGCGUUGUUCGGAAUUACUGGGCGUAAAGCGUGCGCAGGCGGUCUUGCAAGACAGGUGUGAAAUCCCCGGGCUUAACCUGGGAACUGCACUUGUGACUGCAAGGCUGGAGUACGGCAGAGGGGGAUGGAAUUCCGCGUGUAGCAGUGAAAUGCGUAGAUAUGCGGAGGAACACCGAUGGCGAAGGCAAUCCCCUGGACCUGUACUGACGCUCAUGCACGAAAGCGUGGGGAGCAAACAGG